RNAcentral lists this ribosomal RNA (460 nucleotides) under uncultured bacterium. RNAcentral's name for it is "partial 16S ribosomal RNA". It matches the Rfam family "Bacterial small subunit ribosomal RNA", at positions 338 to 795 of the family's 1533-position model. The record is from RNAcentral.
GCUACGGGAGGCUGCAGUGAGGAAUAUUGGUCAAUGGACGAGAGUCUGAACCAGCCAAGUAGCGUGAAGGAUGACUGCCCUAUGGGUUGUAAACUUCUUUUAUAUGGGAAUAAAAUGUUCCACGUGUGGGAUUUUGUAUGUACCAUAUGAAUAAGGAUCGGCUAACCCCGUGCCAGCAGCCGCGGUAAUACGGAGGAUCCGAGCGUUAUCCGGAUUUAUUGGGUUUAAAGGGAGCGUAGGUGGAUUGUUAAGUCAGUUGUGAAAGUUUGCGGCUCAACCGUAAAAUUGCAGUCGAAACUGGCAGUCUUGAGUACAGUAGAGGUGGGCGGAAUUCGUGGUGUAGCGGUGAAAUGCUUAGAGAUCACGUAGAACUCCGAUUGCGAAGGCAGUUCACUGGACUGCAACUGACACUGAGGCUCGAAAGUGUGGGUAUCAAACAGGAUUAGAUACCCUUGUAGUC